UGGUUAUUGGAUGGCUAGAGUUUUCCUUAUUCUCUCUCUCUCUCUCUCUCAUGAUCUUGCUAAUCCAAGGGCUAAAAUCUCCCCUUCUCUCUCUCUCUUUCAUGACAUUGCUGACCCAAUGAGUGGAGCCUCCCUUGCCCUCUUUCUCUCUCAUGACCUUGCUAACUCUAUGGUCAGAGCAAGGUGGAUAAAGGCUCCUGGACCCAGCCUUCCUUGCUCUCUCUC
Molecule: long non-coding RNA, 225 nt
Filed under: Elaeis guineensis (African oil palm)
Lineage: Eukaryota; Viridiplantae; Streptophyta; Magnoliopsida; Arecales; Arecaceae
Description: long non-coding RNA (EGUI_LNC005720)
Source: RNAcentral